Molecule: ribosomal RNA, 496 nt
Filed under: uncultured bacterium
Lineage: Bacteria
Description: partial 16S ribosomal RNA
Rfam family: Bacterial small subunit ribosomal RNA
Source: RNAcentral
GAUGAACGCUGGCGGCGUGCCUAAUACAUGCAAGUCGAGCGAACAGACGAGGAGCUUGCUCCUCUGACGUUAGCGGCGGACGGGUGAGUCACACGUGGAUAACCCACCUAUAAGACUUGGAUAACUUCGGGAAACCGGAGCUAAUACCGGAUAAUAUAUUGAACCGCAUGGUUCAAUAGUGAAAGACGGUUUUGCUGUCCCUUCUAGCUGUAUCCGCGCCGCAUUGGCUAGUUGGUAAGGUAACGGCUUACCAUGGCGACAAUGCGUAGCCGACCUGAGAGGGGGAUCGGGCACACGGGAGCGGAGGGCCGCACCGGGCCCCUACGGGAGGCAGCAGUACGGAGGGUGGCAGAAGGGGCGAAAGCCGGACGAAGCGACGAAGCGUGAGGGAUGAAGGUCGUCGGGUCGUAAAACGCUGUUAUGAUGGAAGAACAAAUGUGUAAGUAACUAUGCUUUUGUGGACGGAACCUAAUCAGAAGACCCCGGUUAAUUACGU